AUAAAGGUGGCCAAGUGGUUAAGGCAAUGGACUUCUAAUCCACUGUGCUCUGCACUUGUGGGUUCGAAUUCCACUUUCAUC
Molecule: transfer RNA, 81 nt
Filed under: Chelonia mydas (Green sea turtle)
Lineage: Eukaryota; Metazoa; Chordata; Testudines; Cheloniidae
Rfam family: tRNA
About the family: Transfer RNA (tRNA) molecules are approximately 80 nucleotides in length. Their secondary structure includes four short double-helical elements and three loops (D, anti-codon, and T loops).
Source: Rfam by way of RNAcentral